GUCGAACGAUGAUCCCAGCUUGCUGGGGGAUUAGUGGCGAACGGGUGAGUAACACGUGAGUAACCUGCCCUUAACUCUGGGAUAAGCCUGGGAAACUGGGUCUAAUACCGGAUAUGACUCCUCAUCGCAUGGUGGGGGGUGGAAAGCUUUAUUGUGGUUUUGGAUGGACUCGCGGCCUAUCAGCUUGUUGGUGAGGUAAUGGCUCACCAAGGCGACGACGGGUAGCCGGCCUGAGAGGGUGACCGGCCACACUGGGACUGAGACACGGCCCAGACUCCUACGGGAGGCAGCAGUGGGGAAUAUUGCACAAUGGGCGAAAGCCUGAUGCAGCGACGCCGCGUGAGGGAUGACGGCCUUCGGGUUGUAAACCUCUUUCAGUAGGGAAGAAGCGAAAGUGACGGUACCUGCAGAAGAAGCGCCGGCUAACUACGUGCCAGCAGCCGCGGUAAUACGUAGGGCGCAAGCGUUAUCCGGAAUUAUUGGGCGUAAAGAGCUCGUAGGCGGUUUGUCGCGUCUGCCGUGAAAGUCCGGGGCUCAACUCCGGAUCUGCGGUGGGUACGGGCAGACUAGAGUGAUGUAGGGGAGACUGGAAUUCCUGGUGUAGCGGUGAAAUGCGCAGAUAUCAGGAGGAACACCGAUGGCGAAGGCAGGUCUCUGGGCAUUAACUGACGCUGAGGAGCG
Molecule: ribosomal RNA, 681 nt
Filed under: Arthrobacter sp.
Lineage: Bacteria; Bacillati; Actinomycetota; Actinomycetes; Micrococcales; Micrococcaceae
Description: bacterial SSU rRNA
Rfam family: Bacterial small subunit ribosomal RNA
Source: RNAcentral